Long non-coding RNA from Vigna unguiculata (cowpea), 929 nucleotides. Lineage: Eukaryota; Viridiplantae; Streptophyta; Magnoliopsida; Fabales; Fabaceae. The record is from RefSeq and is a predicted model, not a curated record.
ACUUGCGCGCUGCAUUCUAUUCUCAUAGUUGACCUUUGUUUCGUCCCUUUUUAGAAUCCAUCAAUUCUCCAUUUUGAACUCUACAAAUUAUGGCUUCCGUCUUCCAUCUUGCUUUUAUUUUGGGAAGUCAUGCUUCCAUCCUCCGUGUUCACUAUUGUUGCUGAGGUAUGAGAUCCCAAUAGCGCAAAUGAGGUUUUGGAUCUGAUUUGGAGUUGCUCAUUUGCUGGAUGCGGAGCAGAAGGUGAAAGCCUUUGUAUACACAUCCUAAGGAAAAGUACCAUGAGUAGUUGAGGGGUCAUCUAAGGAGACACUUAUGGAGGAUCAAGUUCUGAGCUCCAACAAAUUUCAUUGGCAACAAAGAUUCAAUGUUGGAAGGAUGUUGUUGGAGGCAAGAGCAGAGGUUGAGUUUAUGGAACUAUAGACUUGGCUGCCAACAUUCGACAUGGAGUCUCAUCCCUUACUCAACCCUCUUUAUUAGAUGCAAUUACUGACUACAUUGAUUAUGGUGUUGAGAAUGAACAACUUCGUUAAGAAAUCAAGGAAGCAAAAGAACAGGCUCGUGAGGCUAACCAAAAGUAUGAUGUCAAUAUUCAAAAGUACACACAAGUGGAGGAAACAUUAAAGUUGAUGCAACAACAAAUGGUCAUGAUGAUGGAGCGAAAUCUCUGUGAUACUUCAACAGGUACAAGUCUGGUCCACCCUGACUAUGCCGACACCGAUGAAUAUGCACUUUCUUGAAGUUCACCUUCAAUCUAUUUCACCUUAGCAAGAAAGAUUCGUAAUGUCGUUUUGUUGUGGAGGAUCCCUUAUUUUUGUCAUGGAGGAUCCCUUAUUUUUGUAGUGAAGGAGUGGAGGAUCCACUUAUUUUGGUUAUUUCAUGUAAAUGAAAUGUUAUGUUGUUUUGUGGUUAAGAACAACUCUUUUUGGUA